This 305-nucleotide ribosomal RNA is filed under the name uncultured bacterium. RNAcentral's name for it is "bacterial SSU rRNA". It matches the Rfam family "Bacterial small subunit ribosomal RNA", at positions 335 to 641 of the family's 1533-position model. The record is from RNAcentral.
GUGCCUACGGGACGCAGCAGUGGGGAAUAUUGCACAAUGGGGGGAACCCUGAUGCAGCGACGCCGCGUGGGUGAAGGAGCACCUCGGUGCGUAAAGCCCUAUCGGCAGGGAAGAAAAGCGAACAGGUUCGCCUGGACGGGACCUGACUAAGAAGCCCCGGCUAACUACGUGCCAGCAGCCGCGGGAAUACGUAGGGGGCAAGCGUUAUCCGGAUUCACUGGGGGUAAAGGGAGCGUAGACGGAGACGCAAGUCUGGAGUGAAAGCCCGGGGCCCAACCCCGGGACAGCGCUGGAAACUGCGGCGG